Molecule: long non-coding RNA, 2936 nt
Filed under: Triticum aestivum (bread wheat)
Lineage: Eukaryota; Viridiplantae; Streptophyta; Magnoliopsida; Poales; Poaceae
Description: long non-coding RNA (TAES_LNC003409)
Source: RNAcentral
UUUUUUUUUUUUUGCUAGAGGGUUGGUUGUGGAGGCGAAAAUGGGAGAGGUGGAAGGUGGGGAAGAAUAAACAUGAGAGGUUCGCACAAGAUUUGGUCUAAGCGAUUGAUUCUGACGCUGAGUCAAAGCAGUGAAUUCCACCAGCACACCAAAAGUUUUACUGCAAACAUGGAUAGUGUUAGUUUGGGUGAAUAGUAUUUGACAUUAUUUACAUGUGAUUGUAUCUUUUUUGGUUCUUUCAUUGGAGUUUGAAUUAGGAGCAGAAACUUUUUGAGAUUGUACAUCAAACAUGGAUGCGUGUCUCCAAAUAUUUUCAGAAUUUUAAACAUGUUUUGUAUCUUAAAAAAACUUGAUCUCACUGAUCUCACCUAAGGGCGGAUCUUAUACUAGUCUCCGCCUCUAUACCCCUGGUCUUGUAGCUAACGUGGCAAAGUUGCGUGAGUCAUAGGUGAUUUGCUUGGCAACAAAAACAACGCUCCGGCGGGUCGGUUUCUUCACUUGCACAGCCUGUCGAUCCGUCUCGAUCAGUCGUGGUCAUCCAUCCACGAUGUACCUAGGCGUGCCGCGCUGCAUGCCAGCGACGGUUCUAGCCCACGCACGAGCUGCGUGAUAGAUGCGGCGUCGUCACUCUCAACUCAAUGCAUGCUACGUCCUCCUCGAUCGUCACCGUGCACCGACCCUCCUAUCCUACGGCGUCCGCCGAUUCUUCUAGCCUAGAAUCUAGGGUCUGACCAACGCAGCUCUCGGUGUCGACGGUGGACUUAGAUCAGCUGGGCCACGGCUGCGGAAGCACGGAGCCAGAGAGAGUCUUCAACUUGUGCCGUGUCGACGUGUCGUCAGUCGAUGGCGAGGACCAUGUAGCCCGUUGGCCGCGGCCCCCGGCACAUGAGCGUCGCCUCGUGCGGUGCACAGCUGCUCUUCCGUCCAAAUAUUUUUAAACUCGUAUGUUGUUUUCCUUGCUUCUUGCUGUAUUUUUUGUUUGCAGACCUUCCACGUCGCAAGCGAACGCAAGUCUUUCUGCUCAGCAGCAGUCGAAUCUGAACAUAGCGGUUAACUAGCAUAAAUUAUGAUCAUCUUUAUACCAGUAUUAAAACUAGCUAGUACCCAUUUCUGACUAAAAAGUAGGUCAAGAAGUUUGCACUUGUUCCAAACUAAAUGUCUUGGGGUUAUCACAACCAUUUCUUUAUAAUGAUAAACUAAGUGAGAAGAAGGCAAAGCAUAGUACUAGUAUUCACAAGGUUCAUACAUAGGCGGAACUCCGCUCCGCUUACAAUCUGAAAUCCAAAAGGUUUGAUUGAUUUCGGUAUCAACCAAGAGCAAGCACCACAUCACUUCACGCAGCCAGCACACGCGCUAAACCUGUCAAGCCCAUCAAAGAUCAUCAGAGCGUGAUGAUCGUUGCUCACAAAAACAGAGCAAACUAAGCAAUUGAGAGUUGCAAACUAACUCACAGCACACACAACACACGCAUAAUCAAACUAGACUAGAUAGCAUCUACGGUAACUUUAUAUUAGCGGUUCAUUGAGGUCGUCGUGGCUCCAUCUCCAGCAGCUACUGGGUCUGUAAAGAAUGCAAGGGUAAGUUAGCUCCACGUCACUUACUGUUGAAGCAAUAAUUACGUGGGUGAAACUGAAACAUAGACUGUCAUUAAUUAUUUGCCUGAACAGUACCAAGGUUCACGAUUGCAUAAGAGAACACGGUUAAACUAUUUUGGCUGAUUAUGAAUAAUAACAACAGUAAUUGUGACUGGGCCAUAAGAGCAGAAACUGUAAAUAUCUCCGUCCUUUGGAAGAACACUGUAAAAUCUUUUCCAAAGAUGCUAGAAACUAGUGGUAGACGAGUGGCAACAGAUGCAAUGCCUAUAUUGCUGUGAAAUCCGAAAGCUGAGCCGAUAAGUAGUGCGAGUCAGCACCUACUCACAUGUUGGACGAAUACAUGGAGUAUACUAGUGUGGAUAUAUGUUCUGCGAGUCUGCAACUACUGGUAUGCUCAACGAAUCAACGUAGUGCCUAGUGUAAAGAGGCAUGUGAUUUGUCGCACUAGAACAUUGUGACGGCAAGCUGGCAGCACUCAAGAGUCAAGAUAACACAUAAAUGUAAGGAGGGAGUACAAGAUUUUCUGUCGUACUAACUGACGUCUCCACACUUGCUGCUUGGAUGAGCACAUCAAAUGUAAGGACGAAGCUACUAUGUCAUUAGCUUUGAUACAACAGAAGAUAUAUUUGGAGCAGAAUUAUCAGUUCAUAAACGCACCUCAUCAGUGGCAGCAUCAUCAUACUCCCCAUGCUCUUUCAAUUUCAUCGGUUCAACUGCAUGGAGCUCUAGUCAGAACAUAACUAGUAUAAUCUUUUAAUGACCAAGUCAAAGGAAAAGCUCUGCACAUGUUAACAUACCUGUAGCAUGGCAACCAGCUUCCCCUUCCUGAAUCACUCUGCUAGAAUCACCAGCUCCAGCAGUAUCAAUAGGCUCCCCAUCAGAGCAGGCACCAGAUGACAUCCGCUUUGAGGACAGGCCGCCUUUAGCAGAGGACUUCUUAGAAGAAGGGCAACUGGAUGUGAGCCUCUGUAAUGAGCCCCUGCAGAAUGGAGAGUUGUUGAAAGGGCUACCAGAUGAUGAUAAGCGCUUUGCAGACAAGCUCCCUGCAGACGGAGACAAUUUAUCUAAAUGGCUCUCUGACGAGAGGCGUCUUUCAGAUGCUCCCCUUGCUAGAGGGGAUCCUCUCAAGCUCAGCCUGUCGAUGGAAGAGCGGCAUGCUGACUGGACUAUUUCACUGUCACAAGGACCUUUGACACCGAUAAUCUUUUCGAAUUCAGAAUGUUCUUCCGCUAGCCGGUCCACGAUGACAGCCUCACAAUCAUCAAAUGCAAAACUUUCAUCCAGUUUCUGCUCAAAGCUAGGUUGGUCCAUCUCUUCCUCUCCUUGUUUGAUAACACUGAC